GACGAACGCUGGCGGCGUGCUUAACACAUGCAAGUCGAGCGGAGCGGCGAACGGGCGCGUAACGCGUGAGUAACUGCACCCCUCUCUGGGAUAACAGUUGGAAACGGCUGCUAAUACCGGAUAGUGGGGGAUGACUCGCGUCCUAUCAGCUUGUUGGUGGGGUAGUGGCCUACCAAGGCGACGACGGGUAGCCGGCCUGAGAGGGCGACCGGCCACAUGGGGCUGAGAUACGGGCCGAACGCCUACGGGAGGCAGCAGUGGGGAAUAUUGCGCAAUGGGGGAAACCCUGAUGCAGCAACGCCGCGUGCGGGAGGACGGUCUUCGGGUUGUAAACCGCUUUCAGCAAUGACGCGGAAGUGGCAGAAGAAGCACCGGCUAACUACGUGCCAGCAGCCGCGGUAAUUC
RNAcentral lists this ribosomal RNA (405 nucleotides) under uncultured bacterium. RNAcentral describes it as "partial 16S ribosomal RNA". It matches the Rfam family "Bacterial small subunit ribosomal RNA", at positions 28 to 526 of the family's 1533-position model. The record is from RNAcentral.